UCGCCCGGACAUGUCCGGGUUGGCCGCGGAUAAUGUCCGUGGUGGGUUUUUGGGUGAUUUUGGGCAAUUUGAUGGGAUCCUAUGGUCCAAAUUAUGCGGGGUAGGAUUUCGGGGGAGAGAGGUUUGGAGGGCUAGAUGGGGUGGCUGCAAAUUUGUUUAGGGAGAACCCUAGUGGAGUUAGAGCCUCUCUCGACAAGGUGGGUUAAUAUAGAGAAUGGUCUACGGGGGGUUGGACCUCGUCUGUCCGAUCGCGAUCCAAAGGCCACGAACGGAGGGAUGGGCUAGGUGGGUCUAGUGGGAUGUGCAGAUGGGCUUGGUGGGGAUGAGAGGGAAGGUUGUGGCCCAUGGAAAAGUUCUUAAACACUGUAAACGUCUGACAAUUUGACUAGUUAUAGUGUCGCUAUAUAUUUAACGGUUCGAGUAUCAAACGAACUCCGAUAGCAAUGAAAUUUGGCA
This 456-nucleotide long non-coding RNA is filed under the name Hordeum vulgare. RNAcentral describes it as "long non-coding RNA (HVUL_LNC019354)". The record is from RNAcentral. Lineage: Eukaryota; Viridiplantae; Streptophyta; Magnoliopsida; Poales; Poaceae.